AUUGAACGCUGGCGGCAUGCUUUACACAUGCAAGUCGAACGGUAACAGGGAGCUUGCUCCGCUGACGAGUGGCGAACGGGUGAGUAAUGCAUCGGAACGUACCCAGUCGUGGGGGAUAACGUAGCGAAAGUUACGCUAAUACCGCAUACGUCCUGAGGGAGAAAGCGGGGGACCGUAAGGCCUCGCGCGAUUGGAGCGGCCGAUGUCGGAUUAGCUAGUUGGUAGGGUAAGGCCUACCAAGGCGACGAUCCGUAGCGGGUCUGAGAGGAUGAUCCGCCACACUGGGACUGAGACACGGCCCAGACUCCUACGGGAGGCAGCAGUGGGGAAUUUUGGACAAUGGGCGAAAGCCUGAUCCAGCCAUGCCGCGUGAGUGAAGAAGGCCUUCGGG
This 391-nucleotide ribosomal RNA is filed under the name uncultured bacterium. RNAcentral's name for it is "bacterial SSU rRNA". It matches the Rfam family "Bacterial small subunit ribosomal RNA", at positions 29 to 422 of the family's 1533-position model. The record is from RNAcentral.